AUAAUAUGUCGGAUAAAACGAGUAGUUUUGAUAAAACUAAACAUUAAAGUCUUAGAACUUUAUAUUAUUAU
RNAcentral lists this transfer RNA (71 nucleotides) under Didemnum vexillum. Its description in RNAcentral is "tRNA-Ile". The record is from RNAcentral. Lineage: Eukaryota; Metazoa; Chordata; Ascidiacea; Aplousobranchia; Didemnidae.